This 403-nucleotide ribosomal RNA is filed under the name uncultured bacterium. RNAcentral's name for it is "partial 16S ribosomal RNA". It matches the Rfam family "Bacterial small subunit ribosomal RNA", at positions 30 to 526 of the family's 1533-position model. The record is from RNAcentral.
AUUGAACGCUGGCGGCAGGCCUAACACAUGCAAGUCGAGCGAGCGGCGGACGGGUGAGUAAUGUAUGGGGACUGCCCGAUAGAGGGGGAUAACUACUGGAAACGGUAGCUAAUACCGCAUACUAUCGGAUAACCCAAGUGGGAUUAGCUAGUAGGUGGGUUAAGGGCUCACCUAGGCGACGAUCCCUAUCUGGUCUUGGAGGAUGAUCAGCCACACGGGGACUGAGACACGUCCCAGACGCCUACGGAGGCAGCAGUGGGGAAUAUUGCACAAUUGGCGCAAGCCUGAUGCAGCCAUUCCGCGUGUGUGAAGAAGGCCCUAGGGUUGUAAAGUACUUUCAGUCGGGAGGCGUUACCGACAGAAGAAGCACCGGCUAACUCCGUGCCAGCAGCCGCGGUAAUAC